Molecule: ribosomal RNA, 235 nt
Filed under: uncultured Candidatus Saccharibacteria bacterium
Lineage: Bacteria; Candidatus Saccharimonadota
Description: partial 16S ribosomal RNA
Rfam family: Bacterial small subunit ribosomal RNA
Source: RNAcentral
UAAGCAAGAUAUGAAAUCGUACGGCUCAACCGUAUACACGUAUCCUGAACUGUUAAACUAGAGGGCGAGAGAGGUUUCUAGAAUUUCUUGUGUAGGAGUGAAAUCCGUAGAUAUAAGAAGGAAUACCGAUGGCGUAGGCAGGAAACUGGCUCGCACCUGACACUAAGGCACGUAAGCGUGGGUAGCAAACGGGAUUAGAUACCCCGGUAGUCCACGCCGUAAACUAUGGAUGCUA